This is a non-coding RNA of Neolamprologus brichardi, 366 nucleotides long. The record is from the annotation of a RefSeq genome assembly. Lineage: Eukaryota; Metazoa; Chordata; Actinopteri; Cichliformes; Cichlidae.
AUCACUGUGGUAUUCGGACAAGGCACCAAGCUGGUUGUGACAAGCUCCAGCCUCCCUCCUCCUGUCCUGACAGUCUUCCCUCCGUCCAGUGCUGAGCUCCAGUCCAACACAGCUUCUCUGGUCUGUUUGUCCAGUCAGUCUGUGCCUUUUGCAGAUGUGAGCUGGUUGGCUGCUAGGAGUCCAGUGAGCAGUGGGAUCUCUACCAGCACUGCUGUUCAGAGACCAGACCAGACUUACCAAAUCAGCAGCUCUCUGACCAUCCAGACAUCAGACUGGAACAUGGAUAAGGUUUAUACAUGUAAAGUGUCUUUGGGCUCGCAGACUUUACACAAAACUAUCAAGCUGUCAGAAUGUCCCACUGAAUAG